GUAUCUUUUUGUCUCUAUUCCACUGGAUGGCUGUUGUGAUGAGUUGUCUGUUCUGGCCAGCAGUGUAAUCCUCCUCUGCCUGUUUGUGUGAAUACAUCUCUCUCUUUCUCUCAGUUGCAAUGACGGACGUGUGUUUCCAGUGUAAUGACUCAAUGUGCUCAAAAUUGAACACAAUUUAUGAUCAUGGAGAUCAGAACACAAGUCUGCUGGUUCCAUGUCCUAUCCAGCAAUGCACCUCCAAUCCCGAAACUUCCCGCUUGGAUAAAUUGUAUUAUGUUUGGUGCAGAAAUGUCUCAGCGAGCUUCCAGCCUGCCCUGGAGGCCAACAGCACAGCCAUUACCAACUAUGAACAAGCCAAUUGCACUGUCAUCGGCAUCGCGCCAACUACUGUGAAUGGUUCAGACUUCACUGGAGCUGGUGAUCAAUAUGGACAUCCUGGGGAUGAACUGUGGUGGGUUUUACUGAUCCCUGUCCUGGUCGUUUGCAUUGGCAUUGCUUGCUGGUGUAUCAAGAAGCGCAACAGAAGUAGAAACUAUGUCAUAUAAGGGAGAAAGUGACAGGGACAGCUCUCAGGACUACCCAUCCCUUAACCAAGCUGUUUGGACCAAACCCCCAGAUCAGGAUGCUGCUGCAUUAUCUCUGCCUUCAUUCCAUCUCUUUAACUCUUCUUCGUAAAGUUUCAUAUUCAGAUUAUUGUAUAACAGUACUGGUAAACCAAUGCCUUGCAUAAGUUUUACUCAAUUGUACUGACAUCAGCCGGCUGAAGCGUAGUCUUAGGAGUGCUGAUGGGAAUAAAUCAGGUUUAGGAAAAUGUCAUGCCACGCAAAGUAAAUUGUCUAAUUCACUAUGUACUGUACCGUGGGU
This is a long non-coding RNA of Coregonus clupeaformis (lake whitefish), 864 nucleotides long. RefSeq lists it as uncharacterized. The record is from RefSeq and is a predicted model, not a curated record. Lineage: Eukaryota; Metazoa; Chordata; Actinopteri; Salmoniformes; Salmonidae. The transcript is spliced from 5 exons.